RNAcentral lists this long non-coding RNA (8366 nucleotides) under Triticum aestivum (bread wheat). RNAcentral's name for it is "long non-coding RNA (TAES_LNC022385)". Lineage: Eukaryota; Viridiplantae; Streptophyta; Magnoliopsida; Poales; Poaceae. The record is from RNAcentral.
UGAGCUCGUGUUGUUGCCAUCAGAUGGCCAUUUUGAGUGGUGAUGGGCAGGCCAAAUGAGUGUGCAUUUUAUAAUAAAAGUCUCACAAACAGACAAGCACGGCAUGAAUCAAAAUGAACCUUCACAACGGAAAUAAGAUUCUCACAGCAUUUAGAUAGAACAGCUCAUUGUGCAUAACGAAAUUAUAUAGCUAAACAGAACCAAAUACUAGAUAUAUAACUGGUUCAAAACAAGGGAGACAGCUCGAUGGACAUGCCAUCAGAUGGUCCGUACUGAUUUCUUUCAAAGUAGAAAGCGGCACAACUCAUUUAAGAGGGAUGAACCGGGAAGAGUGUGUGGCACCGAUACCGGGCCUACCGUGCUUCACUGGCUUGUAGGAGAUAGAGAACUCUGCAAGGUAAUGGCCAAUCAUCUCAGGCUUAAUCUCAACCUGGUUGAAGGUCUUGCCAUUGUAGACACCGAUAAGGCUGCCAAUCAUCUCAGGGACAAUGAUCAUGUUGCGGAGAUGUGUCCUCACUGGCUCAGGCUUCUCACCAGCAGGAGCAUCCUUUUUCUGUUGAAGACCAACAAAACAGAUUGUCAGGUAACUACAUGUUGGCAAAAUAAGAAGCUAUAGACUAAGCUAGUUUUCCAUCCUUAACUAACACUUUCAUCCAGCCUCCCCCUCGUUUUUGCUUUUGCUGUUUUUUACUGGUUUUUGUCAAAAACCAACACUACUUAAAAAAACAUCUACUUAUCAAAUAAAAUCAUGUUUCAAGGUAAGCCAAUAAAUAUCUACUUACAGAAAAUAUAAGGUUCCAUCUUAUAUUUACUUCAAUUUGACAACCCCAACUCUUCCAUUCAGUUGGUCAGCUUCUAAUUUAUGAAAUAAAAUCAUGUUUCCUUUAGUAAGUGAAUAACUACUGAUCCAAUUGGAAGCUAAAAUACAUUUUCAGUGUGCAAUUGCAUUAAGAAAACAAAUGGUAAAUAUAUGUUCCCCUCUGCAACGCACAGGCAAUUAUAUAGUAUUGCAUAGAAAUGCAGCUAUAAUACAGUGAGACUUGCAACAUUACCAUGGAAAGAAUGAGAAAAGAGCAUAUUCUCCUUUUUUAUGUUAGCAGCUCAGAAGCAUGUUAUUUAAGUAUAAUAGCCAGCGUUGCUAGUUAUGAAUGCACCACUGAAGUUCAUAUGGUAGAACAAAAGUAGUCAGCUCACAUAGUCUGAACUAAUUUCAAACUCAGAUUAUGUGAAGAUGGAAAGAUCAAAGGGUCUUUUACAUUUGUGUCCCUAACUCGAACCCACUAAUCGGAUUUGCCCCUAGUUUCGAAGCAUGCUCAAAUUUGCCCCUCUGCCGUUAUGUGCCAUUACAGAAAUGCCCUUCCGUGCCGUUUCCGUCUGGUCAAAGGGCUUUGACCGUUUUCCUAACGUUUAAUGGACAUUUUUGCCCCUCAAUGCACAUGCCACUUACAGGUGGGGCCUACCCCGGGAAAAAUAACUCUCUUUCUCUCAUCCCCUCUCUGACUUACACAUCGGAUCUAAAUCCUGAGAGCGCGUGAGAUCUUCUGCCGGCGACGCCGUUGCUAGCCACCGCGGCCGGAGUCCAAAUCGAGCAGCACGAGCAUGUCCAUGAGCUUUGGCGGGCGCCUCUCCUUCGUCCUGCGCAAUGGAUCUGGCCUGGGGCUGCCCGUAGACGACGCCCGGGACGUCGAACUCCGCCAUGGCCAUUGCUCUUCCCGUCCUAAAUUCGGCCGCUCUAAGCCAUUCUUGACCUACCCGACCCCUGUUCCGUCGUCAAGGAAAGCAGGUGCCCCUACUCCGCUCUUCCCCCGCCCGAUUCCGUGCCCGGAGCACCCUGACAGAAUCCGGCCGCCAUGACCAACCUUGGUUGGCUCGGUCGUGCACGCGCCCAUCUACACCCUGCCGCUCCUAGUGAGCUUGGCGCGUCUCGCGCAACUUGCGUGCCUCGCGCAGUAGGCGCCGUCCUCCCACGAUCGCCCUCCUCCCCUACGGCGAGCCGCCGGCGAGCGCAGGCGCUCACGGCCGGGAACGCAUGGACCGGGGGUGUUUACCCUCAUAGUGGGUCCAGUCAAGAGGAGAUGGAUGAGAGAGAUUUUUUUUGUUUUUUCCUGGGUAGGUCCCACCGGUAAGUGACUGACACACGGGAGGGCUGAGUUGGCCUAGUUUUCCUUUUAUUUUUUUAGAGGGGGUCCCGCAUGUAAGUGUCACAUGGAUUCAAGGGCAAAUUGUCCAGCUAACGUCCAGAAAACGGUCAAAGCCCUUUGACCGGACGGUAACGGAGCGGAAGGGCAUUUCUAUAAGUGCACAUAACGGCGAAGGGGCAUUUUUGAGCAGGCUUUCGAAUUAGGGGUAUAUCUGAUUAGGUGGUUCGAGUUAGGGACAGAAAUGCAAAUGGCCCAAGAUCAAAUGCAUAGCACCAUAAACGCUUACACAACAACAUACAGCAUAGUGAGGAAACCUGACCUUGCGACAGAAAAACACCACAUUUUAUCUUUACUCUUACAAAGAUCUGAGUUGUUGGCAAUCCAUUCACCAAGUUAAUAGAAGUUGACACAUUUCUCAACCAUUCUAUGGAGACAAGAGUUUAUAGUUUUAGACAACCCAGGACCUAUGAUGGCACAAGUGUUUAAACUUGCAGACGAAAACAAAAAACAUUGAUAGCAACGCACAAGCAUUUAGCCAAUAGAUCCUAAAGAUUGUUGCAACAGACAUAAGAGGCACCUGAAUUAACAGCAUGUGCUCGAGUAACUAAAUGUCUAUUUCCCACUACCAAUCAGCACAUGCCCGUAAGAUUAACCUUCUAAUAAGAGAAAAGAAUGAUAACAAGGUAGUAGACUAGGAGUAACUUAAGUUAUAUCAGUCAGAAUGUUCAUAAAACGGAAACAAAGAAAAAGGACUGGGCAACUCACCGCCUUGCGCAGCUUCUUGACGAGCGCCAUGGGCUUCCUCUUGAGACCCCUCUUGAACCUGCCCGAGCACGCAGCGAUUCAUCCACAUCAGACGAAGGACAACAACCAACGAAACUCGAACGCGCGAGAUGCAUAGACAACAGGUACCUUCUGCGGGCGCGAGCGGGGAACAUCUGGACAAGGUCGUCAGUGGACAUGUCGAGGAGGGCAUCGAGAUCCACGCCACGGUAGCUGAACUUGCGGAACGUCCUCUUCUUCGGCUGCGCGCCCGCGGCCACCUCCGUGUCAACGUCGACGUCCGCCUGGGGACACGUAACAUCGAUCCACGUUACGAGAGCGACAUGGACGGGUUAAGAGAUGAUGCAUGGAUUCGAACUCACCAUGGUCGGGUCGGCUUCGAGCGGGUACGGAGCGGCGGCGGCGGCGAGGAAUGGGAAGCUGCGGCUUCUAGGGUUCUGAAGAAGGUUUGUGAGUGGGAGCUUAUAUAUAUAGCUCGGCGUGGUGAUUCAUUUGGGCUAGGCUGGUAAAUGUUUGGGGUUCACGCAUCGCCCAAACAUGGGCCGACAGCCCAUUAGGCGGUGCGAUUUGACCUGUUAGCCAUUCUCGAGAUCUUUUAUGCUCGUCCUCGCCACUAGAGGAGCGAGGGGGUUCUUGAAUUUAUACUUCUUAUGCCGCACCAAGAACUACCUAUAUUAGGUUGCCAAAAUACAAGUGAAUUAAUCGUGAUAACCACCUGGUAUUUAUGGUGGGAGAGACGCAUGUUGGUUCAUGAAGGGAAAUCUCAAGAAGUGAAUCAGAUUUCGAUGGGCAUUCGUGCUAUAACUGCAAACUAUGUGAAUGAUACCUUGCGCGGUGCUGCAGGAACUGAUUGCAAUAUAGUUUGAUGAAAUUUGAUUGUUUGAAAAAUGAAUAUUUGAGUUAUAAAUAUGAGGACUGGCCGAAGAAAAUAUAUGAUUUAUUGUAUAUAAUUAUUGACGUGGACCUUCCAUGCAUGGUGAGGUGGUCAUUUUCCAAGGCAUAUAGUAUGGGCACUCACCAACAUACUGAGAAAAUAGAAGAUACCGCGGGCAUUGUGGUAGGUAUCCUUGAUAAAUAUAUAUUCUGAGUUGAGAAACACACAAAAGUUUGCCACUACAGCAAAACGAAGGAAAGUUUAGCAUGCAUAGUUUAGUAGUUGCAACAUGACAUAUAUUCGUUUUAGUUAAUUCUCAAUAUUUAAAGCAAAGGAAUAAAUCAUCGGGAGUCAAAAGGGGUACUAAUCUGCAUACACAACUUUUUAAUCAUGAGAAAAUAUCUAAUUAUCUAUGGUGGUUAAAUUGAUUAAGCUAAUUAUUAUAAUAUGCUAAAGGAUUGAUAAAUCACAUCAUAAAAAAGUAUGUAGUUUUGAUUGCGAUCCCGUGGCAAGCUUGUAUGGGAAGGAAGAAUAGUUAUUUGGGAUAAAUCUUACCAUUUUAGGAUAGGACAUAGGGUUGUGUCAUGUCAAAAAAAACGAGAUAUCUUUGUAUCACUACAUUAUGGGAUGUUAGGUCUCCAAAAAAAUAACUAAAUGGCAUGCAAAAACAAAGAUAGUUAUAGGCUUUUAUGAACAUAAUCAACAGUUAAGCAAAGUCUCACCUCUUGUCUUUCUUUCCAUACCAUUUUAUUCUGCUGUAAAAAAAAGCAAACUAUAGUCUUUGAUCCCAAAUAAAAAUAACACAUAGUGGGCACAUCAAUAAAGAAACAAACAUUAUGAAGGGUACACAUAGAGAUAGUUGAUCAAGAGGUAAGCACGAAUGAAAUAAAAUGAACUGCAGUAUAUAAUUCCAAGUGAAAAGAACACACGCUGGGCACAUAAGUAAAGAAACGAAUGUUGUUGGGAAACCAGAAUGAGCUGAUAUCCACGUACACGUGACAUUACCGUUAGAUCAUAUAAGAGGUAACAGGAUUAUCUAUAAAUUAUACUCCCUCCAUUCCAAAUUACUCGUCGUGGUUUUAGUUCAAAUUUAAACCGUCGUGGUUUUAGUUCAAAUUUAAACUAAAACCACGAUGAGUAAUUUGGAACGAAGGGAGUACUUGUCAAUAACCCUGCAGUAAGGUAGCAGGCAUGACUUGAUCACUGGGAUCAGGGUAACUAUAGAAUAUCAUGGUUUGCGAAGAAAACAGUCUAUACCAUCAGACCAAAUAUAUGUGUGCUAGUAAUAGUGCAGACUUAAUACCAAGUAGUAAUACAUAAGGAGCAUUAGUUAUUAAACAACAUUCUUUGUUGCUAGCUUUUCUUGUGGGAAGCAAGAGAGAUUGCUUUGGAUUACGAAAAUAGAAACACCUUCUAUCUGGUAGUUGUUGCCUUCCUUGUGGACGCACCUGCAAGCAUAUGGGACAAUGAAAAUAAACUAAAACAUGGGACAGAUAAACAAUCACUGGAUGUACAACUCAAGACUUCCGAAGAGAGGUUUCACGCUACAGAUCCAAACUGGGAAAAAUUCUAUAAUGGAAAAGGUCUCAUCCCACCAAAAAGAUAAAGAAAUUAAGGCAAGCAAAUAAAAUAUUCACAAAUUAGGGGAAGAGAGAUGCAUGGGCUGGAAAAGUUUACUGCUCCUCCCAUGACCGCCAAGUAGAGCAGUAUGGCAAUAGUCCAGCCAGGAAUUUGGAACCACCCAAAUAUAGGCCUAACCAGCGGCACACUCUGUUGACACAAACCUAAUAUGUGAGAUUUAAUAGUGAGAGGGGAGGAAGUAAGAUUACCUGAGGAGAUUAAGGUGGGGAAGAGGGAGAGUUGACAGGAAGCCAGUAUUACAUUGGCGAUGUUAUCGGGAGUCAGGGUAUAGGCUUGCCGGUGGCGCCUUACAUGGAGAAUGUGUUUGCGGUGUCUGUCCGUGUAAUAGUAGACGUCGUCAUUACCAGUGAAGCUCAUCUUAUGGCUGCCGCCGCAGCCACUAUUAGUAGAAUUGGUAACCUGUAGAUGAGUCACGAACCUAAAUCUAGACAGGAUGAUAUGGUUGUGGGCUGGUCAUCUGCGUUCAGGAGGUGGAAGGCGAGCAGAAAAUAUAAUGAUGGAGGGGAUGGGAGGGAAGGAGUCGUGAGUCAUGAGUGUCAAACUGUAGUUGGUGGACAGAGAGUUGAGGCGAUGAGAAGAAGGGUCGUGAAGGGGAAGAGGCGAUGAGAAGAAGGGUCGUGGAGGGAAGGGGAAGCGUGUAAUCUGCCAGAUUAUUCUGUCUAUUCGGUUGGAAAAAGAAUGUGUAAUUAUAACUAAACAACCGAGGUGUCACUAUGAUGAUGUGGAUAGCUUGCAUGCUUAGAUAAAUAAGGUAGUGGGGGCGAACUUCUUAGGUAUAUAGGAUGCCCACUCCCUUAGUGCGACUAGUAGAAAAGAAGGAUGGAGCCGACCUUCUAUAGGUUUUGUUAAACUAAAUGUUGAUGCUUUUUUUGACCAUGAUCUGCUCAGGGGCACGGCAGGUGCAGUGCUCAGAGAUGACAAAGGAAACUUCAUUACUGGCGGAAAUUGGAAGAUCGAUUGGUGUGCUGAUGUACUAACAACAGAAGCGAUGGCUCUUAGGUUUGGUUUAAUUCUUGCACAAAAGGUGGGAUGCAAUCGUCUUAUUAUUAACUCUAAUAAUAUGGAAGUCAUUGACACAAUGAAGAAUGGAGGACGAUCGGCGGGAGUUACGGCGGCAGUAUUCGAGGAUUGCUACUUCAUGGCAUGCGAUUUUCCGUUGACUAGAUUGGAACAUUGUAAUAGGGUAGCUAAUAAGGUUGCUCAUGAACUUGCUAGGCUAGCGAAAGCUUCUGUAACUAGAGAUUGGUUUGAGGAGCCUAUGGAGAAUAUUGUACCUCUUCUUAUAGAUGAUGUAACUAUCAUUUCCAAUUAAUAAAGUGGAUGUUUUCUUUCAAAAAAGAAAUGCUAAUCCUAUUUGGGGCAAAAUCUGGAAACUAUAUUGUCCGGCAGAGGUAAAAAAAUUCAUCUGGCGUACAUUGCAUGGAACUCUCCUAUGUCGUGUUAUGCUUGUUAGACCUUUCAGCCUGAGCAUUGAUAGUUGUGGAUGACACUAGGAGAGUUGGGACAAUUUUCGUUGGUUUAUUUCUCACACAAUGCCAUGCCAACCUGAGGGGUUGGGGAUACAUAUUUAUAGGCUGCGAGCCAGCCAAGGCAUAUGCUAAGAUGCUGCUAAGAUGCCAGUCUAAGAUGCUAGUCUAAGAUGCUAGUCUAAGAUGCUAACUGACAGUCCUUGAUGGUCAAGAACAGAACUCUAUCCUAACAGCCAGUCCUUGAUGGUCCAGGACUUUAUCCUCCUAACUGCCACAAGGACCAUGUGCUGCAGCAAAGGACCCUAGUACACAGACUUAUCCAUCAUUCUCCCCCUAAGUCUUGUACGUCGUCUUGUGGGAGAGUUGAAUCAUCCCAAUCCUGGAGCAAAGUUCGAGGAACUUGACCCUCCCAAGGGGCUUGGUGAGCAGGUCUGCGAGCUGAUCCUUGGUGUUGAUGUAGCUCGCCUCGAUGCUCCCUUCUUCCACACAGCUGCGAAUGAAGUGAUACCUCAGUCGGAUGUGCUUGCUCCGUUCGUGGAACACGGGGUUCUUUGCCAGGGCCAGGGCGGACUUGCUGUCCACCAGGAGCUGCACCGUUCUGGUGUCUUGAACGAGAAGAUCACCAAGCAGUCGAGCAAGCCAGAGCGCCUGAGUACAGGCGGUGAAGGCCGCUAUGUACUCAGCCUCACAGCUGGACAGGGCCACCACCUGCUGCUUGACUGAUUGCCAGCUCACGAGACACUUGCCGAGGAAGAGGAGGAUCCCGCUCGUGCUCUUGCUGGUGUCGAUGUCGCCGGCAUGGUCGAUGUCGCUGUACCCGACGAAUUGUGCCGCCCCAGGGCACCUAGGGUAAUGGAGGCCGUGGUCGAGGGUCCCUGCUAUGUAGCGGACGAUCCUCUUCACUGCCUGCUGGUGUUCCGACGUUGGUCGCUCCAUGAACCGACUGACAUAGCCGACGGAGAAUGCCAAGUCCGGCCGUGUGUGAGUGAGGUAGCGAAGGCUCCCCACAAGGCGUCUGUACUGCGUAGCAUCCACUUCCUCCGUCGUGCUGUCGCGACUUAGUUUCAGCCUCUCCUCCAUCGGAGUGAGAGCUGGAUGGCAGUCGGUGAGCCCAGCUAGCUCAACGAUGCGCUUGGCGUAGGCGGACUGUCGAAGCGCGAUCCCGGAGUGGUCCUGGUGCACCUCAAUCCCUAGAUAGAAGGAGAGGAGCCCCAGGUCACUCAUCUGGAACGUGGCCUUCAUGUCUUCCUUGAACGCCGCCACCUCUGCAUCUUUGGUGCCGGUGAUCACCAGGUCGUCAACGUAGACGCCCACCAGCAGGGCAUUUCCUCCACUCCCCCGUCGGUAGACGGCAGCCUCAUGCGGGCUCUGCUCGAAACCCAUCUUCUUCAGCGUGGAGUCCAGCUUGGCGUUCCACGCCCUGGGUGCCUGCCGCAGGCCAUAGAGAGCCUUGCGCAG